This 466-nucleotide ribosomal RNA is filed under the name uncultured bacterium. RNAcentral's name for it is "bacterial SSU rRNA". It matches the Rfam family "Bacterial small subunit ribosomal RNA", at positions 56 to 569 of the family's 1533-position model. The record is from RNAcentral.
UGCAGUCGAACGAAGUCUUCGGACUUAGUGGCGAACGGGUGCGUAACGCGUGGGAACCUGCCCUUAGGUUCGGAAUAACAGUUAGAAAUGACUGCUAAUGCCGGAUAAUGUCUUCGGACCAAAUAUUUAUCGCCUUUGGAUGGGCCCGCGUAGGAUUAGGUAGUUGGUGAGGUAAAGGCUCACCAAGCCGACGAUCCUUAGCUGGUCUGAGAGGAUGAUCAGCCACACUGGGACUGAGACACGGCCCAGACUCCUACGGGAGGCAGCAGUAGGGAAUAUUGGACAAUGGGCGAAAGCCUGAUCCAGCAAUGCCGCGUGAGUGAUGAAGGCCUUAGGGUUGUAAAGCUCUUUUACCAGGGAUGAUAAUGACAGUACCUGGAGAAUAAGCUCCGGCUAACUCCGUGCCAGCAGCCGCGGUAAUACGGAGGGAGCUAGCGUUGUUCGGAAUUACUGGGCGUAAAGCGCG